CAGUUCGGAUUGAAGGCUGAAAUUCGCCUUCAUGAAGCCGGAAUUGCUAGUAAUGGCAGGUCAGCAUACUGCCGUGAAUACGUUCCCGGGCCUUGUACACACCGCCCGUCGCACCAUGAGAGUUGGCAACACCCGAAGUCGGUAGUCUAACCGCAAGGAGGACGCCGCCGAAGGUGGGGUUGAUGAUUAGGGUUAAGUCGUAACAAGGUAGC
RNAcentral lists this ribosomal RNA (212 nucleotides) under uncultured bacterium. Its description in RNAcentral is "partial 16S ribosomal RNA". It matches the Rfam family "Bacterial small subunit ribosomal RNA", at positions 1289 to 1500 of the family's 1533-position model. The record is from RNAcentral.